GCCCAGGUUGUUUAACCCUGUCAGUCCUGAGAGCCCAGGUUGUUUAACCCUGUCAGUCCUGAGAGCCCAGGUUGUUUAACCCUGUCAGUCCUGAGAGCCCAGGUUGUUUAACCCUGUCAGUCCUGAGAGCCCAGGUUGUUUAACCCUGUCAGUCCUGAGAGCCCAGGUUGUUUAACCCUGUCAGUCCUGAGAGCCCAGGUUGUUUAACCCUGUCAGUCCUGAGAGCCCAGGUUGUUUAACCCUGUCAGUCCUGAGAGCCCAGGUUGUUUAACCCUGUCAGUCCUGAGAGCCCAGGUUGUUUAACCCUGUCAGUCCUGAGAGCCCAGGUUGUUUAACCCUGUCAGUCCUGAGAGCCCAGGUUGUUUAACCCUGUCAGUCCUGAGAGCCCAGGUUGUUUAACCCUGUCAGUCCUGAGAGCCCAGGUUGUUUAACCCUGUCAGUCCUGAGAGCCCAGGUUGUUUAACCCUGUCAGUCCUGAGAGCCCAGGUUGUUUAACCCUGUCAGUCCUGAGAGCCCAGGUUGUUUAACCCUGUCAGUCCUGAGAGCCCAGGUUGUUUAACCCUGUCAGUCCUGAGAGCCCAGGUUGUUUAACCCUGUCAGUCCUGAGAGCCCAGGUUGUUUAACCCAGUCAGUCCUGAGAGCCCAGGUUGUUUAACCCUGUCAGUCCUGAGAGCCCAGGUUGUUUAACCCUGUCAGUCCUGAGAGCCCAGGUUGUUUAACCCUGUCAGUCCUGAGAGCCCAGGUUGUUUAACCCAGUCAGUCCUGAGAGCCCAGGUUGUUUAACCCUGUCAGUCCUGAGAGCCCAGGUUGUUUAACCCUGUCAGUCCUGAGAGCCCAGGUUGUUUAACCCUGUCAGUCCUGAGAGCCCAGGUUGUUUAACCCUGUCAGUCCUGAGAGCCCAGGUUGUUUAACCCUGUCAGUCCUGAGAGCCCAGGUUGUUUAACCCUGUCAGUCCUGAGAGCCCAGGUUGUUUAACCCUGUCAGUCCUGAGAGCCCAGGUUGUUUAACCCUGUCAGUCCUGAGAGCCCAGGUUGUUUAACCCUGUCAGUCCUGAGAGCCCAGGUUGUUUAACCCUGUCAGUCCUGAGAGCCCAGGUUGUUUAACCCUGUCAGUCCUGAGAGCCCAGGUUGUUUAACCCUGUCAGUCCUGAGAGCCCAGGUUGUUUAACCCUGUCAGUCCUGAGAGCCCAGGUUGUUUAACCCUGUCAGU
Long non-coding RNA from Oncorhynchus keta (chum salmon), 1209 nucleotides. RefSeq lists it as uncharacterized. NCBI's taxonomy places the organism in Eukaryota, Metazoa, Chordata, Actinopteri, Salmoniformes, Salmonidae. The record is from RefSeq and is a predicted model, not a curated record. The transcript is spliced from 3 exons.